GGGGAACUCACGGAAGGGUUGGAGGGAUCGGAGGGCCUGAAAUGGCUGUAGUUGUGAGGAUCGAACAACGGCAAGUCGCCCAAGAUAGAACCCAUGAAAGAGUGAAUGCAGAACCUCUGCACAGUGCUCCCCCCUCGAAUCCACAGAGAGAGAGAGAGAGAGAGAGAGAGAGAGAGGAUGGCCUCAAAUUCUAGAAUCAGCCUCGCUGCUGGUGCUGGAGUUGCCUGGAAACAGGAC
This 237-nucleotide long non-coding RNA is filed under the name Eucalyptus grandis. RNAcentral's name for it is "long non-coding RNA (EGRA_LNC007111)". The record is from RNAcentral. Lineage: Eukaryota; Viridiplantae; Streptophyta; Magnoliopsida; Myrtales; Myrtaceae.